UACAGAGGGCGCGAGCGUUAUUCGGAUUUACUGGGCGUAAAGCGCGCGUAGGCGGCUUUGCAAGUCGGGUGUGAAAUCCCCAGGCUUAACCUGGGAACUGCAUUCGAGACUGCAUUGCUAGAGUAUGGGAGAGGGAAGUGGAAUUUCCGGUGUAGCGGUGAAAUGCGUAGAUAUCGGAAGGAACAUCAGUGGCGAAAGCGACUUCCUGGACCAAUACUGACGCUCAUGUGCGAAAGCGUGGGGAGCAAACAGG
RNAcentral lists this ribosomal RNA (253 nucleotides) under uncultured bacterium. RNAcentral describes it as "partial 16S ribosomal RNA". It matches the Rfam family "Bacterial small subunit ribosomal RNA", at positions 524 to 776 of the family's 1533-position model. The record is from RNAcentral.